CGCCAGACUCCUACGGGAGGCAGCAGUGGGGAAUAUUGCACAAUGGGGGAAACCCUGAUGCAGCGACGCCGCGUGAGUGAAGAAGUAUUUCGGUAUGUAAAGCUCUAUCAGCAGGGAAGAAAAUGACGGUACCUGACUAAGAGGCCCCGGCUAACUACGUGCCAGCAGCCGCGGUAAUACGUAGGGGGCAAGCGUUAUCCGGAUUUACUGGGUGUAAAGGGAGCGUAGACGGCAUGGCAAGUCAGAUGUGAAAGCCCGGGGCUCAACCCCGGGACUGCAUUUGAAACUGUCAGGCUGGAGUGCAGGAGAGGUAAGUGGAAUUCCUAGUGUAGCGGUGAAAUGCGUAGAUAUUAGGAGGAACACCAGUGGCGAAGGCGGCUUACUGGACUGUAACUGACGUUGAGGCUCGAAAGCGUGGGGAGCAAACAGGAUUAGAUACCCUUGUA
Molecule: ribosomal RNA, 446 nt
Filed under: uncultured bacterium
Lineage: Bacteria
Description: bacterial SSU rRNA
Rfam family: Bacterial small subunit ribosomal RNA
Source: RNAcentral